Molecule: ribosomal RNA, 492 nt
Filed under: uncultured bacterium
Lineage: Bacteria
Description: partial 16S ribosomal RNA
Rfam family: Bacterial small subunit ribosomal RNA
Source: RNAcentral
AGUGAACGCUGGCGAUAGGCCUAACACAUGCAAGUCGAACGGCAGCACAGUAAGAGCUUGCUCUUACGGGUGGCGAGUGGCGGACGGGUGAGGAAUACAUCGGAAUCUACUUUUUCGUGGGGGAUAACGUAGGGAAACUUACGCUAAUACCGCAUACGACCUACGGGUGAAAGCAGGGGAUCUUCGGACCUUGCGCGGUUGAAUGAGCCGAUGUCGGAUUAGCUAGUUGGCGGGGUAAAGGCCCACCAAGGCGACGAUCCGUAGCUGGUCUGAGAGGAUGAUCAGCCACACUGGAAAUGAGGCAAGGUCCUGACUCCUACGGGAGGAAGCAGUAGGGAAGAUUGGACAAUGGGCGCGAACCUGAACCAGCGAGACCGCGUGGGGGAAGAAGGCCUUCGGGUUGUAAAGCCCUUUUGUUGGGAAAGAAAAGCAGCAGAUUAAUACCCCGCUGUUCUGACGGUACCCAAAGAAUAAGCACCGGCUAACUUCGUG